RNAcentral lists this long non-coding RNA (930 nucleotides) under Homo sapiens (human). Its description in RNAcentral is "HSALNT0345177". The record is from RNAcentral. Lineage: Eukaryota; Metazoa; Chordata; Mammalia; Primates; Hominidae.
GGGUCCACUCUGUUGCUACUGGCAGGGUGGAGGGAAGGCUCACCAUGGGAGCCCUGCAAUGGCCUGCGGGCACUCCCAUUGCUUCACUGAGUGGAGGAAAGGAGGCUGUACAGGACGCACAGUGGCAUCUGCUUCUGGGGCAGCUUCAGGAAGCUUCCGGUCAUGGUGGAAGGCAAAGGGGGAGCAGAGCAGGGUCUUGACCUGGAAGAUGGCUGGGGUUUGCACAGCUGGAGCAGACGAGGAGAACCUUCUCCCAGGGGUGGCACCUGCCUCCUGCUCUCAGUUCUCUCUUCUUCCAGAUGAGGAGACCGAGGGCCGUUCAACUAAGAUCACGCGGGUAGAAAGUGGCUGUCUUGUGGCUGUCCCGUGAUUCAACAUAGAUUUUUGGCAUCUAGUUUGGUGGCUUUUUUUUCUACCACACUUCUCAUCUGCCUUACGCCCGGCAGCCCUGAGCCUGACACGCCUACAGACUGAAGGAUGGAGGAGAGACAGGCUUGCAUCCUGCAGAGUCUAGCAGAGGCCCUGGGUCACUUUGCUUCCCAGAGGCACAUCCGAUUUCCCAUACUUGUUGUAAGAGAAACUAAAGUCGUCCAGUUCCAGUGGUGCUUCAGAGCCCAACAGACUCCCCCAGCGUGGCCAAUAUUCAGCUGGCCUGGGAUCUUCUGGGCGGUGCCACUGUGCUAGGCUGCAGACCUGACUUUUUGGCCGAAAAGACAAAAGAUGGUCUCUUCCACUCAUUAGUUAUGAGAGUUCUGACAACCCAUGUAACUUCUAUGAGCCCCCGUGUUCUUAUCUGUACAAUAAUCUAUACUCUUCUUACAUCAAUUAGUCGCUAGAACAAAAAUAAAAUGUCUGCUAUGAAAAGUCCAUAGCUCCGCAUUCAGCCUGAACUGUUUAUCUGUGUCUCCUCCUCCUGAUCAUGGCCUGCGG